UAUUAUGUUUAUUUUUUAAAAAAAUUAAAAGGCUUUUGUUACAUUUGGCUCUCUAAAAAUAUUUUUUUACAAAUAAUCCCAUCAAAUUUAUAAUUAUAAAUUUGACUUUAUCACCGCCACGCGGGCGCCACAUUAGUGCCAUGAUUUUGAGUUGAACACGGUGAAUCAUUCACCGUGUUCAAACACGGUGAAAGAUUCACUGUGUUCCAUAUCUAUAUUCCCCCUUUUUAUUUUUCUUAUAUUUUUUUGCAAUACAUAUAUACUAUAUUUUUUUCAAACACGGUGAACCAUUCACCGUAUUCAAAUACGAUGAAUCAUUCACCGUGUUCAAACAAGGUGAAUGAUUCACCGUGUUCCAUACUUAUAUUUCCCUCCCUUCUCCUUUUUAUUUUCCUUAUAUUUUUUUAUAUACAUGUAUAUCAUAUUUUUUUCAAACACGGUGAAUGAUUUACCUGUUCAACUUAAUAUGCAGUCCCGCUGACGUGGCGCUGAUGGCGCCUGUGUGGCAGGAGGACCAUAUUUAUAAAUAUAAAUUUACUGGGCUACAUUUAAAAUAAAUUUUU
RNAcentral lists this long non-coding RNA (563 nucleotides) under Ananas comosus (pineapple). RNAcentral describes it as "long non-coding RNA (ACOM_LNC015810)". Lineage: Eukaryota; Viridiplantae; Streptophyta; Magnoliopsida; Poales; Bromeliaceae. The record is from RNAcentral.